RNAcentral lists this ribosomal RNA (327 nucleotides) under uncultured archaeon. RNAcentral describes it as "bacterial SSU rRNA". It matches the Rfam family "Archaeal small subunit ribosomal RNA", at positions 330 to 659 of the family's 1478-position model. The record is from RNAcentral.
GUGCAGCAGUCGCGAAACCUCUGCAAUAGGCGAAAGCUCGACAGGGUUACUCUGAGUGAUUUCCGUUAAGGAGAUCUUUUGGCACCUCUAAAAAUGGUGCAGAAUAAGGGGUGGGCAAGUCUGGUGUCAGCCGCCGCGGUAAUACCAGCACCCCGAGUGGUCGGGACGAUUAUUGGGCCUAAAGCAUCCGUAGCCGGUUCUACAAGUCUUCCGUUAAAUCCACCUGCUCAACAGAUGGGCUGCGGAAGAUACUAUGGAGCUAGGAGGCGGGAGAGGCAAGCGGUACUCAGUGGGUAGGGGUAAAAUCCGUUGAUCCAUUGAAGACCA